GUCUCAGGAUAUAAAUAAUGAGUAAUGAUACAUAGAGUUGGUUAUUUGCUUGCCAUAAAUAAUAGAAAGUUGGUUAUUUGCUUGCCAUAAAGUUCCCGGGGAAGAUUUAUUAUUCCCCAUGGGUCAUGGAUAUAGGUCAAGUAUAUCUAACUGUGGUCGUGGUGGUGGUGCAAACCAUACUGCUUGUGGUGUGGAAAUGGUGAGAGAUGGAAGAGAAGAAGAAGAAGAAUCAUGAAAGAAUAAUACAAUGAAGAAAGAAAAGAAAAAAAGAAAAAAAAGGAGAAAAUGGGAGGUGUAUAAUCUUGUCUAUAUGGUCUACAAUUGGAUAUGUGCCUCCGUCCUUAAUUA
Molecule: long non-coding RNA, 348 nt
Filed under: Medicago truncatula (barrel medic)
Lineage: Eukaryota; Viridiplantae; Streptophyta; Magnoliopsida; Fabales; Fabaceae
Description: lncRNA gene3966
Source: RNAcentral